GGGAAGUUUUUUCGUCAGGGAGGGCUCCCGCCUUUCAGCUUUUGGUNGGUAACGGCCUACCAAGGCGAUUACGGGUAGCCGGCCUGAGAGGGCGACCGGCCCCCUGGGACUGAGACACGGCCCAAACUCCUGCGGAGGCAGCAGUGGGAAUAUUGCGCAAUGGGCGAAAGCCUGACGCAGCGACGCCGCGUGGGGGAUGACGGCCUUCGGGUUGUAAACCUCUUUUACCACCAACGCAGGCUCCGGGUUCUCUCGGGGUUGACGGUAGGUGGGGAAUAAGGACCGGCUAACUACGUGCCAGCAGCCGCGGUAAUACGUAGGGUCCGAGCGUUGUCCGGAAUUAUUGGGCGUAAAGAGCUCGUAGGCGGCGUGUCGCGUCUGCUGUGAAAGACCGGGGCUUAACUCCGGUUCUGCAGUGGAUACGGGCAUGCUAGAGGUAGGUAGGGGAGACUGGAAUUCCUGGUGUAGCGGUGAAAUGCGCAGAUAUCAGGAGGAACACCGGUGGCGAAGGCGGGUCUCUGGGCCUUACCUGACGCUGAGGAGCGAAAGCAUGGGGAGCGAACAGGAUUAGAUACCCUGGUAGUCCAUGCCGUAAACGUUGGGCGCUAGGUGUGGGGACUUUCCACGGUUUCCGCGCCGUAGCUAACGCAUUAAGCGCCCCGCCUGGGGAGUACGGCCGCAAGGCUAAAACUCAAAGGAAUUGACGGGGGCCCGCACAAGCGGCGGAGCAUGUUGCUUAAUUCGACGCAACGCGAAGAACCUUACCAAGGUUUGACAUCACCCGUGGACCUGUAGAGAUACAGGGUCAUUUAGUUGGUGGGUGACAGGUGGUGCAUGGCUGUCGUCAGCUCGUGUCGUGAGAUGUUGGGUUAAGUCCCGCAACGAGCGCAACCCUUGUUCCAUGUUGCCAGCACGUAAUGGUGGGGACUCAUGGGAGACUGCCGGGGUCAACUCGGAGGAAGGUGGGGACGACGUCAAGUCAUCAUGCCCCUUAUGUCUUGGGCUGCAAACAUGCUACAAUGGCCGGUACAAUGGGCGUGCGAUACCGUAAGGUGGAGCGAAUCCCUUAAAGCCGGUCUCAGUUCGGAUUGGGGUCUGCAACUCGACCCCAUGAAGGUGGAGUCGCUAGUAAUCGCGGAUCAGC
Molecule: ribosomal RNA, 1144 nt
Filed under: Nocardiopsis alba
Lineage: Bacteria; Bacillati; Actinomycetota; Actinomycetes; Streptosporangiales; Nocardiopsidaceae
Description: bacterial SSU rRNA
Rfam family: Bacterial small subunit ribosomal RNA
Source: RNAcentral